GGGCGCAAKYCUGAUGCAGCCMUGCCGCGUGUAUGAAGAAGGCCUUCGGGUUGUAAAGUACUUUCAGCGGGGAGGAAGGGAGUAAAGUUAAUACCUUUGCUCAUUGACGUUACCCGCAGAAGAAGCACCGGCUAACUCCGUGCCAGCAGCCGCGGUAAUACGGAGGGUGCAAGCGUUAAUCGGAAUUACUGGGCGUAAAGCGCACGCAGGCGGUUUGUUAAGUCAGAUGUGAAAUCCCCGGGCUCAACCUGGGAACUGCAUCUGAUACUGGCAAGCUUGAGUCUCGUAGAGGGGGGUAGAAUUCCAGGUGUAGCGGUGAAAUGCGUAGAGAUCUGGAGGAAUACC
This 345-nucleotide ribosomal RNA is filed under the name uncultured bacterium. Its description in RNAcentral is "bacterial SSU rRNA". It matches the Rfam family "Bacterial small subunit ribosomal RNA", at positions 373 to 710 of the family's 1533-position model. The record is from RNAcentral.